This 770-nucleotide ribosomal RNA is filed under the name uncultured bacterium. RNAcentral describes it as "bacterial SSU rRNA". It matches the Rfam family "Bacterial small subunit ribosomal RNA", at positions 28 to 811 of the family's 1533-position model. The record is from RNAcentral.
GACGAACGCUGGCGGCGCGCCUAACACAUGCAAGUCGAACGAGCGAGAGAGAGCUUGCUUUCUCAAGCGAGUGGCGAACGGGUGAGUAACGCGUGAGGAACCUGCCUCAAAGAGGGGGACAACAGUUGGAAACGACUGCUAAUACCGCAUAAGCCCACAGGUCGGCAUCGACCAGAGGGAAAAGGAGCAAUCCGCUUUGAGAUGGCCUCGCGUCCGAUUAGCUAGUUGGUGAGGUAAUGGCCCACCAAGGCGACGAUCGGUAGCCGGACUGAGAGGUUGAACGGCCACAUUGGGACUGAGACACGGCCCAGACUCCUACGGGAGGCAGCAGUGGGGAAUAUUGCACAAUGGGGGAAACCCUGAUGCAGCGACGCCGCGUGGAGGAAGAAGGUCUUCGGAUUGUAAACUCCUGUUGUUGAGGAAGAUAAUGACGGUACUCAACAAGGAAGUGACGGCUAACUACGUGCCAGCAGCCGCGGUAAAACGUAGGUCACAAGCGUUGUCCGGAAUUACUGGGUGUAAAGGGAGCGCAGGCGGGAAGACAAGUUGGAAGUGAAAUCUAUGGGCUCAACCCAUAAACUGCUUUCAAAACUGUUUUUCUUGAGUAGUGCAGAGGUAGGCGGAAUUCCCGGUGUAGCGGUGGAAUGCGUAGAUAUCGGGAGGAACACCAGUGGCGAAGGCGGCCUACUGGGCACCAACUGACGCUGAGGCUCGAAAGUGUGGGUAGCAAACAGGAUUAGAUACCCUGGUAGUCCACACCGUAAACGACG